This 385-nucleotide long non-coding RNA is filed under the name Vulpes vulpes (red fox). RNAcentral's name for it is "lncRNA (ENSVVUG00000010317.1)". Lineage: Eukaryota; Metazoa; Chordata; Mammalia; Carnivora; Canidae. The record is from RNAcentral.
GAAAAUGAAAGGGGGGGUUAUCUCCAGGUUAGCAUUCUCACUCAGAGGCAGUCUAGUAUGUGUGUGGUAAGAAUCAAGGACUCUUAAUGAGACCUAAGAUCCCACAGUUCUCCUAAGGAAGGAAAAGUACUUGAAAUGCCUAAUACAGCGGCCAGAACAUGAGAAGUGUUUAUCAUUCAGAAGCAAAGGAGAUUCCAAAGAAGAUAAGAUAGACUAAAUCACAGGAGCAGAUCUGAGAAGGUGCCUCUUCCUGAAGCAGGGCAGAAAGUUCUGUGUACUCUUGUGUAAGUAUACAUCGAGUCAUGAAUUGGAGAUGAGAAAUCAAUCUCGAGAAGACUCACCUUCUACAUUUUGCAUCCUCCUAUACCCUCUCUCACUCUAUACC